Molecule: ribosomal RNA, 253 nt
Filed under: uncultured bacterium
Lineage: Bacteria
Description: partial 16S ribosomal RNA
Rfam family: Bacterial small subunit ribosomal RNA
Source: RNAcentral
UACGUAGGGGGCAAGCGUUGUCCGGAUUUAUUGCGCGUAAAGCGCGUGUAGGUGGCCAAGUAGGUCCGCUGUGAAAACUUGAGGCUCAACCUCAAGCUGUCGGUGGAAACCACUUGGCUAGAGUCCGGAAGAGGAGAGUGGAAUUCCUGGUGUAGCGGUGAAAUGCGCAGAUAUCAGGAAGAACACCAAUGGCGAAGGCAGCUCUCUGGGACGGUACUGACACUGAGACGCGAAAGCGUGGGGAGCGAACAGG